UGAAUCUAAGGAUGCCCUCAACGAUUC
RNAcentral lists this non-coding RNA (27 nucleotides) under Mus musculus (house mouse). Lineage: Eukaryota; Metazoa; Chordata; Mammalia; Rodentia; Muridae. The record is from RNAcentral.